RNAcentral lists this long non-coding RNA (1052 nucleotides) under Brassica rapa (field mustard). RNAcentral describes it as "long non-coding RNA (BRAP_LNC006675)". The record is from RNAcentral. Lineage: Eukaryota; Viridiplantae; Streptophyta; Magnoliopsida; Brassicales; Brassicaceae.
CAUCAGUUCAUAUGAGCGGGCUUCAAAAUGGGCUGUGAAAUAAAAACUAAAUAGCCAUUACAUUAGCCGAAGCCCAAAUCGAACAAGAAAAAAACAGAAAAAAAAACGCAACCAAUUAAAUGGCGACACGUGUCAACAAAUGCCCACCCCUAAAGAGGGACGUGGAAGGCUAAGGUGAGAGAAAAACCUGUUUUAUUAUUAUAGAUAAUGAACUAUGUGGGUAUACAAUUAAAGUAUUUUCUGAAUAUAAGAACUAUGUAGAUGGCUAAUUAAUUUGUUACCUUCAUCAUUAUAUUCUAAGUUGAUUAUCUGAACAGAAACCAUACAUACAAUCUCACGAGUAGAGAUACUCAUACUCAUAUGAGGUAUCUGGAUUACCUGGAGUAUCAAAAAGAAGAAAAAAAAGUUAACAUGUUUGACAUAUCAGUGGCUAUUAUAUAAUAAUAUAAUGAACUAUGUGGGUAUACAAUUAAAGUAUUUUGUGAAUAUAAGAACUACGUAGAUAGCUAAUUAAUUUGUUACCUUCAUCAUUAUAUUCUAAGUUGAUUAUAAGAGAAAACAUACAUACAAUCUCACGAGUAGGGAUACUCAUACUACAAAACAUUAAUGAAAUUGAAUGUUCACAUUGCCAUUGUAAGGUUAUCUCCUCGACUUCACUUGGUGGAAUGAUUAACUCUUAUCAACGCUUAGCAAAACUGAGGAAAUCAAGACUUGAGAGCAAAAUACUAUCUACAACCGUUCAUUGGAAACACAGUAAGUCAAAGAUAACUACAACAGUCAUAUCUUUUAGGAGUCUAUAAAUGAAAGCGAAGGACUUUUAUGUGAGAUUUCUACUUUUUUGCGAUAUUGAACUAUGUAUAUUGGUUUGAACGUAUAGUACACCCGCCAAAAAACGUCACACAACAUUAUAUUGCUAUAAUACGACUGCACCAUGUGUUAGCGAGUGCUUGCUAACAACAAGAAAAGAAAUGAUAGCGAUUGUUUAAACUCACUUUGAUAGUCAACUUGUUAAAUAUAGUUUCAACAAGCGGGCAGCCAAAGGCAAGUUCAAG